UUUCCGUAGGUGAACCUGCGGAAGGAUCAUUACUGAGUGAGAGCACUCUGGAUCCUACCUAACAUCCGUGUUCAUUGUACCUGCUUGCUUCGUUGGGCCAGCCUCACGGCCCCCGGGGGACACCUUCGCCGCUGCCCGCACCCGCCAAAGACACCAAACAACUCUGUAUCAAGUUUCACGCCUAAUAAAAUAUUCAAUAAGUCAAAACUUUCAACAACGGAUCUCUUGGUUCCG
This 234-nucleotide unclassified non-coding RNA is filed under the name plant metagenome. RNAcentral's name for it is "partial contains small subunit ribosomal RNA, internal transcribed spacer 1, and 5.8S ribosomal RNA". The record is from RNAcentral.